GCAGCGCGAUGAUGCCGUUGCGACGCGCGUGUAGCGGCAACGGCAGGAGCGCCGGGUAGGCCUGGAUGAUCGGGUGAUGCCUGCCGCCUCCGCCCUUCCACCUCCUCCUCGCAUUCGCGCUCGCGCCACCGUCAUUGCUAACGCCUCCGCCGCCGCCGCCGCCGGCCUUCCUCUCGUUCUUGGGCACCGCUUCCCCCUCCAUGGCCGAGUUUCUGCUGCUGCCACCGGGCAGCGGGAAGUAAGCGCUACCCCGGUCCAAUUUGUUCGUACUACUUGGUACUGCUGCGCAGCUUCUUCCGGGGCAGCAGGAUCACAGCUUCUUGGGCUCCUUUUGGCGUGGCGCGGCGCGGCGUGGGCGUGGGUUGGCCUUGUGUGGGUUUCUUGGAUGGUUGGAAGGUA
This 399-nucleotide unclassified non-coding RNA is filed under the name Zea mays. RNAcentral describes it as "misc RNA Zm00001eb020480". The record is from RNAcentral. Lineage: Eukaryota; Viridiplantae; Streptophyta; Magnoliopsida; Poales; Poaceae.